CCUCCACACCCUGCAUAGGAUGGGGCCAUGGGCCUGCGCACAGUGAGAGAUCUCGGCAAGUUGCAGCAGAAGAGCUGGUGAAGCAGAAAUGUGAUGUAAAAUGCUGCAUGUCAAGACAAGAGGCUGAAACCUGUUUGAACCUGUGCAUUAUCUGAUCGAAACAGAGACCUCUUUUGCCUGCAAUAGCAAAUUCAGUAAGAGCAACUACAGAAAGGGAGAAUGAGAUUUGAAGUUGUUACACUUGGCAACACAUAUUUUGGAGUAGAACUUUGGUGCUCUGUUCACAUAAGUUUCCCUUAUCCACUCACUCUCAUCUGCCUGGUGUGAUAUGCUGUCACUGUUCUUCAUGAUCUAGUCACACAAAAAUAAAUGCAUUUUAAGCUUA
Molecule: long non-coding RNA, 385 nt
Organism: Neopsephotus bourkii (Bourke's parrot)
Lineage: Eukaryota; Metazoa; Chordata; Aves; Psittaciformes; Psittacidae
Exons: 2
Source: RefSeq, a predicted model, not a curated record